Ailuropoda melanoleuca (giant panda) is the source of this 949-nucleotide long non-coding RNA. RefSeq lists it as uncharacterized. Lineage: Eukaryota; Metazoa; Chordata; Mammalia; Carnivora; Ursidae. The record is from RefSeq and is a predicted model, not a curated record. The transcript is spliced from 2 exons.
GGAAGGCACGCUGCACUGCACGUGAGAUCCUCAAAUCCCCCUUCCUGAUCCCUGUUGAGGAGGCGACAGUCCACUCUGCAAACCCUGCACAUUAGCCCAGAACUAACUUGUCACCAGAUGGGCCGUAUUUAAGUGUGAUGCUUCAGACUGGAUUCAAGCAGAACAGGAACCCAGGAGACAAUUACAGCUUUCUGUCUUGGCGAGUGGGGGUGGGGAGAGGAGCAGAGGAACAGGGACAAGCGGGCUCUGUGCUCCAUCCAUGACCCUGAGAUCCUGACCCGAGCUGAAAUCAAGAGUUGGAGGCUUAACCGGCUGAGCCCCCCAGGGGCCCCAUUGAAAGAAGAAUCUUAGAGGAUCCGAACCAUUUUACAGGUUCCGUGGCGAUCCGUGGCGACCCCUGGCGACCCUCCGCUGGCAGCUGCAUCACUGUGACCUCCAUUGUCACACGCGUCCCCCUGGUGUGUCCGCAUCUUCACGUGAUCUGUUCUUCCAAGGACACCAGUCACAUUGGGUUGAGGGCCUGCUCCACACCAGGAUGACCGCACCUUGACUUCAUGACUUGCAUCAUAAUGACCGUAUAUGGGCUUUCUCUUGGUUGACUCAUUUUGUACGCCGUGCCAGAAGGUGCUCUGGACUCCUUUCAAGGAGUCGGUCAGUGGGAUCCUUAGAGAACGUGUUCUGUGCGUUCUCUGAGCAGCCCGCCAGCUGGUGCUCACCCGUGUGACACCCCCCCGGCCCCGUGUGAGCAUGCCGUGGGGAGGGCAAGCCGCCGCCAGACCCAGCAAGGUCCUCGCCUCGCUGGCCGACUCUAGGGCCCCUCUCCCCCACGUCGGGUUGAUGAAUACUGGCCUCGUAUCUCUGUUCCAUUUUAUAAUUGUUUAUUGUGGAUGACAGCUGGGUUUUCUGCAGUGUUAACAUUAUUCCCAAAAAACUAUUAUUUCUCUGUAAA